RNAcentral lists this ribosomal RNA (241 nucleotides) under uncultured bacterium. RNAcentral's name for it is "partial 16S ribosomal RNA". It matches the Rfam family "Bacterial small subunit ribosomal RNA", at positions 15 to 252 of the family's 1533-position model. The record is from RNAcentral.
GAUCCUGGCUCAGGAUGAACGCUAGCGGCAGGCUUAACACAUGCAAGUCGAGGGGCAGCGCGGGAUAGCAAUAUCCUGGCGGCGACCGGCGGAAGGGUGCGUAACGCGUGAGCGACAUGCCCGUUGCCCGGGGACAACCGGUGGAAACGCCGACUAAUCCCCGAUGGGAUACGAUGCUUCAUGGCAUUGUAUUGAAAGUUACGGCGGCGACGGAUUGGCUCGCGUCCGAUUAGCUUGUUGG